Molecule: ribosomal RNA, 406 nt
Filed under: uncultured bacterium
Lineage: Bacteria
Description: partial 16S ribosomal RNA
Rfam family: Bacterial small subunit ribosomal RNA
Source: RNAcentral
AUUGAACGCUGGCGGCAGGCCUAACACAUGCAAGUCGAACGAGUGGCGGACGGGUGAGUAAUGUCUGGGAAACUGCCUGUUGGAGGGGGAUCACUACUGGAAACGGUCGCUAAUACCGCAUACCAUCAGAUGUGCCCAGCUGGGAUUGGCUAGUGGGUGGGGUAACGGCUCACAAAGGCGACGAUCCCUAGCUGGUCUGAGAGGAUGACCGGCCAAACGGGAACGGAGACACGGCCCAGACUCCUACGGGAGGCAGCAGUGGGGAAUAUUGCACAAUGGGCGAAAGCCGGAUGCAGCCAUGCCGCGUGUAUGAAGAAGGCCUUGGGGUUGUAAAGUACUUUCAGCGGGGAGGCGUUACCCGCAGAAGAAGCACCGGCUAACUCCGUGCCAGCAGCCGCGGUAAUAC